AGUGAACGCUGGCGGUAGGCCUAACACAUGCAAGUCGAACGGCAGCACAGUAAUAGCUUGCUCUUACGGGUGGCGAGUGGCGGACGGGUGAGGAAUACAUCGGAAUCUACUUUUUCGUGAGGGAUAACGUAGGGAAACUUACGCUAAUACCGCAUACGCCCUACGGGUGAAAGCAGGGGAUCUUCGGACCUUGCGCGAUUGAAUGAGCCGAUGUCGGAUUAGCUAGUUGGCGGGGUAAAGGCCCACCAAGGCGACGAUCCGUAGCUGGUCUGAGAGGAUGAUCAGCCACACUGGAACUGAGACACGGUCCAGACUCCUACGGGAGGCAGCAGUGGGGAAUAUUGGACAAUGGGCGCAAGCCUGAUCCAGCCAUACCGCGUGGGUGAAGAAGGCCUUCGGGUUGUAAAGCCCUUUUGUUGGGAAAGAAAAGCAGCAGGUUAAUACCCCGCUGUUCUGACGGUACCCAAAGAAUAAGCACCGGCUAACUUCGUG
This 492-nucleotide ribosomal RNA is filed under the name uncultured bacterium. RNAcentral describes it as "partial 16S ribosomal RNA". It matches the Rfam family "Bacterial small subunit ribosomal RNA", at positions 29 to 507 of the family's 1533-position model. The record is from RNAcentral.